RNAcentral lists this ribosomal RNA (492 nucleotides) under uncultured bacterium. Its description in RNAcentral is "partial 16S ribosomal RNA". It matches the Rfam family "Bacterial small subunit ribosomal RNA", at positions 29 to 507 of the family's 1533-position model. The record is from RNAcentral.
AGUGAACGCUGGCGGUAGGCCUAACACAUGCAAGUCGAACGGCAGCACAGUAAGAGCUUGCUCUUACGGGUGGCGAGUGGCGGACGGGUGAGGAAUACAUCGGAAUCUACUUUUUCGUGGGGGAUAACGUAGGGAAACAUACGCUAAUACCGCAUACGACCUACGGGUGAAAGCAGGGGAUCUUCCGACCUUGCGCGAUUGAAUGAGGCGAUGUCGGAUUAGCUAGUUGGCGGGGUAAAGGCCCACCAAGGCGACGAUCCGUAGCUGGUCUGAGAGGAUGAUCAGCCACACUGGAACUGAGACACGGUCCAGACUCCUACGGGAGGCAGCAGUGGGGAAUAUUGGACAAUGGGCGCAAGCCUGAUCCAGCCAUGCCGCGUGGGUGAAGAAGGCCUUCGGGUUGUAAAGCCCUUUUGUUGGGAAAGAAAAGCAGCAGGUUAAUACCCCGCUGUUCUGACGUUACCCAAAGAAUAAGCACCGGCUAACUUCGUG